This 492-nucleotide ribosomal RNA is filed under the name uncultured bacterium. RNAcentral's name for it is "partial 16S ribosomal RNA". It matches the Rfam family "Bacterial small subunit ribosomal RNA", at positions 29 to 507 of the family's 1533-position model. The record is from RNAcentral.
AGUGAACGCUGGCGGUAGGCCUAACACAUGCAAGUCGAACGGCAGCACAGUAAGAGCUUGCUCUUACGGGUGGCGAGUGGCGGACGGGUGAGGAAUACAUCGGAAUCUACUUUUUCGUGGGGGUUCACGUAGGGAAACUUACGCUAAUACCGCAUACGACCUACGGGUGAAAGCAGGGGAUCUUCGGACCUUGCGCGAUUGAAUGAGCCGAUGUCGGAUUAGCUAGUUGGCGGGGGAAAGGCCCACCAAGGCGACGAUCCGUAGCUGGUCUGAGAGGAUGAUCAGCCACACUGGAACUGAGACACGCACCAGACUCCUACGGGAGGCAGCAGUGGGGAAUAUUGGACAAUGGGCGCAAGCCUGAUCCAGCCAUACCGCGUGGGUGAAGAAGGCCUUCGGGUUGUAAAGCCCUUUUGUUGGGAAAGAAAAGCAGCAGGUUAAUACCCCGCUGUUCUGACGGUACCCAAAGAAUAAGCACCGGCUAACUUCGUG